GCUUGCUUCCUUUCAGACUUAGCGGCGGACGGGUGAGUAACACGUAGGCAACCUGCCCUCAAGCCUGGGAUAACUACCGGAAACGGUAGCUAAUACCGGAUAAUUUCUUUCUUCUCCUGAGGAGAGAAUGAAAGGCGGAGCAAUCUGCCGCUUGGGGAUGGGCCUGCGGCGCAUUAGCUAGUUGGUGGGGUAACGGCCCACCAAGGCGACGAUGCGUAGCCGACCUGAGAGGGUGAACGGCCACACUGGGACUGAGACACGGCCCAGACUCCUACGGGAGGCAGCAGUAGGGAAUCUUCCGCAAUGGGCGCAAGCCUGACGGAGCAACGCCGCGUGAGUGAUGAAGGUUUUCGGAUCGUAAAGCUCUGUUGCCAGGGAAGAACGUCCGGUAGAGUAACUGCUGCCGGAGUGACGGUACCUGAGAAGAAAGCCCCGGCUAACUACGUGCCAGCAGCCGCGGUAAUACGUAGGGGGCAAGCGUUGUCCGGAAUUAUUGGGCGUAAAGCGCGCGCAGGCGGUUAUUUAAGUCUGGUGUUUAAACCUUGGGCUCAACCUGAGGUCGCACUGGAAACUGGGUGACUUGAGUACAGAA
RNAcentral lists this ribosomal RNA (592 nucleotides) under Paenibacillus sp. H9.37. RNAcentral describes it as "bacterial SSU rRNA". It matches the Rfam family "Bacterial small subunit ribosomal RNA", at positions 74 to 653 of the family's 1533-position model. Lineage: Bacteria; Bacillati; Bacillota; Bacilli; Caryophanales; Paenibacillaceae. The record is from RNAcentral.